Molecule: ribosomal RNA, 439 nt
Filed under: uncultured bacterium
Lineage: Bacteria
Description: bacterial SSU rRNA
Rfam family: Bacterial small subunit ribosomal RNA
Source: RNAcentral
CCUACGGGAGGCAGCAGUAGGGAAUCUUCGGCAAUGGGCGAAAGCCUGACCGAGCAACGCCGCGUGAAUGAAGAAGGCCUUCGGGUUGUAAAAUUCUGUUAUAAGGGAAGAAAGGUGAUAGGAGGAAAUGACUAUCAAUUGACGGUACCUUAUGAGAAAGCCACGGCUAACUACGUGCCAGCAGCCGCGGUAAUACGUAGGUGGCAAGCGUUAUCCGGAAUUAUUGGGCGUAAAGAGCGCGCAGGUGGUUAAUUAAGUCUGAUGUGAAAGCCCACGGCUUAACCGUGGAGGGUCAUUGGAAACUGGUUGACUUGAGUGCAGAAGAGGGAAGUGGAAUUCCAUGUGUAGCGGUGAAAUGCGUAGAGAUAUGGAGGAACACCAGUGGCGAAGGCGGCUUCCUGGUCUGCAACUGACACUGAGGCGCGAAAGCGUGGGGAGC